Long non-coding RNA from Aricia agestis (brown argus), 85 nucleotides. RefSeq lists it as uncharacterized. The record is from RefSeq and is a predicted model, not a curated record. The transcript has 3 exons. NCBI's taxonomy places the organism in Eukaryota, Metazoa, Arthropoda, Insecta, Lepidoptera, Lycaenidae.
GGAUGUGUCCUAUUUUCAAUUCUUAAGGGGCCGGGUACUAUCGAAAUUCUCAUACAUACGUAAUACCAAAAUCAUUUUCUCAUAC